GCCUUCAUGGUGUAGUGGUCAAAACGCUCGACGCGUAACCGAGAGGUCCCUGGUUCGAUUCCCGGCGAAGGCG
Molecule: non-coding RNA, 73 nt
Organism: Stegodyphus mimosarum
Lineage: Eukaryota; Metazoa; Arthropoda; Arachnida; Araneae; Eresidae
Source: Rfam